GAUGAACGCUGGCGGCGUGCUUAACACAUGCAAGUCGAACGGUGAACACGGAGCUUGCUCUGUGGGAUCAGUGGCGAACGGGUGAGUAACACGUGAGCAACCUGCCCCUGACUCUGGGAUAAGCGCUGGAAACGGCGUCUAAUACUGGAUAUGUGACGUGACCGCAUGGUCUGCGUUUGGAAAGAUUUUUCGGUUGGGGAUGGGCUCGCGGCCUAUCAGCUUGUUGGUGAGGUAAUGGCUCACCAAGGCGUCGACGGGUAGCCGGCCUGAGAGGGUGACCGGCCACACGGGGACUGAGAGACGGCCCAGACUCCUACGGGAGGCAGCAGUGGGGAAUAUUGCACAAUGGGCGCAAGCCUGAUGCAGCAACGCCGCGUGAGGGAUGACGGCCUUCGGGUUGUAAACCUCUUUUAGCAGGGAAGAAGCGAAAGUGACGGUACCUGCAGAAAAAGCGCCGGCUAACUACGUG
Molecule: ribosomal RNA, 469 nt
Filed under: uncultured bacterium
Lineage: Bacteria
Description: partial 16S ribosomal RNA
Rfam family: Bacterial small subunit ribosomal RNA
Source: RNAcentral